RNAcentral lists this ribosomal RNA (301 nucleotides) under uncultured bacterium. RNAcentral's name for it is "partial 16S ribosomal RNA". It matches the Rfam family "Bacterial small subunit ribosomal RNA", at positions 509 to 809 of the family's 1533-position model. The record is from RNAcentral.
CAGUCGCCACGGUAAUACGUAGGUGGCAAGCGUUGUCCGGAAUUAUUGGGCGUAAAGCGCGCGCAGGUGGUUUAAUAAGUCUGAUGUGAAAGCCCACGGCUCAACCGUGGAGGGUCAUUGGAAACUGUUAAACUUGAGUGCAGGAGAGAAAAGUGGAAUUCCUAGUGUAGCGGUGAAAUGCGUAGAGAUUAGGAGGAACACCAGUGGCGAAGGCGGCUUUUUGGCCUGUAACUGACACUGAGGCGCGAAAGCCAGGGGAGCGAACGGGAUUAGAUACCCCCGUAGUCCCUGUCUCUUAUAA